UACGUAGGGGGCAAGCGUUGUCCGGAUUUACUGGGCGUAAAGAGCGCGUAGGCGGAAGUUUAAGCGUAGCCUGAAAGCCCCCGGCUCAACCGGGGAGGGUGGCCGCGAACUGGACUUCUUGAGGGCGAUAGAGGAGAGCGGAAUUCCUGGUGUAGCGGUGAAAUGCGUAGAGAUCAGGAGGAACACCAGUGGCGAAGGCGGCUCACUGGCCCGAAACUGACGCUCAUGCACGACAGCGUGGGGAUCAAACAGG
This 253-nucleotide ribosomal RNA is filed under the name uncultured bacterium. RNAcentral's name for it is "partial 16S ribosomal RNA". It matches the Rfam family "Bacterial small subunit ribosomal RNA", at positions 524 to 776 of the family's 1533-position model. The record is from RNAcentral.